RNAcentral lists this ribosomal RNA (442 nucleotides) under uncultured bacterium. RNAcentral's name for it is "bacterial SSU rRNA". It matches the Rfam family "Bacterial small subunit ribosomal RNA", at positions 340 to 774 of the family's 1533-position model. The record is from RNAcentral.
UACGGAAGGCAGCAGUGGGGAAUAUUGCACAAUGGGCGCAAGCCUGAUGCAGCCAUGCCGCGUGUAUGAAGAAGGCCUUCGGGUUGUAAAGUACUUUCAGUCGUGAGGAAGGUGUUAAGGUUAAUAACCUUAGCAAUUGACGUUAGCGACAGAAGAAGCACCGGCUAACUCCGUGCCAGCAGCCGCGGUAAUACGGAGGGUGCGAGCGUUAAUCGGAAUUACUGGGCGUAAAGGGCGCGCAGGCGGUUAAUUAAGUUGGAUGUGAAAUCCCCGGGCUUAACCUGGGAAUGGCAUUCAAGACUGGUUAGCUAGAGUCUUGUAGAGGGGGUAGAAUUCCAUGUGUAGCGGUGAAAUGCGUAGAGAUGUGGAGGAAUACCGGUGGCGAAGGCGGCCCCUGGGACAAAGGACUGACGCUCAUGUGCGAAAGCGUGGGGAGCAAACG